Molecule: non-coding RNA, 2735 nt
Organism: Paramuricea clavata
Lineage: Eukaryota; Metazoa; Cnidaria; Anthozoa; Malacalcyonacea; Plexauridae
Source: the annotation of a GenBank genome assembly
UCGCUGUGAACUUCGUUCCGAACGAAGGCAGAAGGACAAAGACGGGAUAUAGUUUCAUGUCUCGCUGUUUUUUUCUGGGUCAGGACAAGAAUUAGUGAGUAUUUAUAAACAGCGACACAUGGGAAGACACGUUGAGCAACCACCAGUGACGUCCAACUCAGUAUGCGCAAGAUAAUGUGCAGACGACAAAAAUUGGCAAGUACGCCUUCGUCUUCGUAAUUCGUUGUCUUGCUCAACCUCUAUAUUGACAAUUUUCCGACGGGUCUUAAUUUUCCGACGGGUCUCUCCCCCCCCCCCUCCCUUUCGGCCACGGCAAACUGCCGAGCCCGCAUUAAAAAUUCACUUGUAAAAAAACCAGAUUGGUUUAAACCUUCAUCUAACCCUCAUUUAAUACACAUUGAAAUAAUUAGGGUUAGAAAAGGUAUGUGUUUCAAGCUGUGUGCCGCAAAUAAGCGAACAAGAUUUUAGGUUUCACACCGAUGCCCAACAAAGCAUAUAUUAUACAGAAUUUUUGUAUUAUUGGCAGCAUGAAGUUAUGCCAGGGGGGGGGCAAACUUUUGCCAGGGGGGCCGGGCCCCCCGGCCCCAGCCCUGGCUACGCCUCUGCAAGAGUAACAUCAAAAACAUUACAUUCACGUGAGUACAUAACAUCAAAACACACACAAAAAAUAUCAUGAUCAUAGAACACAUUGGUGUCGAAGGUUCCGAAAUACCACACACUCGAACUGGCUUGGCCUCGAUAUACACUCGGAGUAACAUCAAAAACAUUAACAGAAGUUUGUCUUUUUUUCACAGGCAAUAAUUUAUGCAUGCAUGACACAUAACUUAAUUCGCUGGUGGAGAUACGCAGUUUCCGAGUACACCCUAGUUUACAUAAGAAAGCUGUGAAUCGCAGUUUUCUGGCGUUAUUGUCACUCCUACGCUGGCACAGACCGUUUGAGUUUUAUAACUCUAGUUUAUAGCCAGUUUUCCACUCCAGGGGGCGGUUGUAGGAAGGUCGGAUAGCGCUAUCCACCGGAUAGUGAUUUUUUCAACCUUUGUAAAUGUUUGAAAAACUGUGAAACUACGGAUAUAGAGGACACAAGAAGUAUAAAAAACAUUUAAUUUAGUAAAUACUAAACUUUAAUACGGGUUGUACCAAUCAGCGACUGAUUUAACAAAGCUUGAAAAAAUCACUAUCCGGUGGAUAGCGCCAUCCGGCCUUCGUACAACCGGCCCCAGGAUUACAGGAUGAAACCAUCGGAAAAAUUAAAUAGAACUUCGACGUGUCGAACGAAGGCUCUUUCGAGCGACAAGAGUUGAUGAAAGUUGCCAAGCGAGAGUUUCCAUGAGAAUUUUCACAACUUUCAUGCCCCGGUUGAAAGAAAACAAGAUUUGCAUGAGAGUUGACUGGAUAUUACUGCACACAUAGCGAUAAUAAACUCUCAUCCGAAUUCUCAUCAAAAUUUGAAGCAGCAUUUGAAAGUUUAUGAGAAUCCAUGAGAGUCGAUGGGAAAUGGCGGUCAAACACGAGCGAGAGUUGCAACUCUCAUCCUCGUUUGACCGAGGGCCGAGGCUUUAUGUUUCCAAGGGAAGUCUUCCUGUUCUGUGACUCUGGAAAAUUUUCGUUAAAACUUCUCCACAAUGCUUUCGAAACUCCCUGCUUUGAAACGCGUAUAAAAAUGGAUUUAGACAACACGAUGAAAAUCCUAGAAUCAUUCCAAAUUGAUAAUAGUCCGAACUCCAUCUGACCUUCGGCACGUCGCCAUAUUGAAAUAAGAGAUAUAGUCUAGGACCUGUAUAGGAGUUUGUAUGCGUUUCAUUUACCACAGGUAAUCUCAACUGUUUUAGGGUAAAAUGACCAUGGCGGUCAACAUGGCAUAUGUGCCAAAACCUGAAUCCGGGGCGAAAGUCCUGAAAAUGACCCCGCCCUGAAACGGCAGUGCCGACAUAGCUCUAACUUCCGAAAAGCAAAAGCGACAGCCUUUCUGAAGUGCUUAUAGUGUUUAGAAGGGUUGCUUUUAGGGGUGGUCAUUGGAAGGAAAAAUUUGUCUAAGUAUAAUGUUUUACCAGAAAAUGACUAUGCACCACCCCAGGUAAAUUGCUGAUUAUGCACAAAAUAACUAAUAUGCCUGGCAGAAAUUUAAUGGUCUUAUUUCCUAAAAAAAAUAAACAUGGGAUGAAAAACUAUGCUUAAUAUAAUAUAAUUAUUGUAGUUUUCAUAAGGACUGUCCUUCUUUUCUGUAAAUAUAAUACAUUUUAAUUCACUCACCCCCCACGAAAACACGAUUUCAGCCAUAUUUUGUCGUCUUGCUUGCUUUUUAUCGCCGAAUCUCGCACACAUCAUCCAAUUGUUGUACUUUCACAUAAUGAUAGAUGGCUAAAGUAGAUUUCAACAAAAUUUCAUGACGUUUUGAAACAGUGCAGUGUAUUUUAUCUUCGAUAUCGUGUCCUUCGAUAUUUCGUCAAAUUGCCGCCAUUUUAAUAGCUCGCCGCUUCUCUGCCCGAUAAAUGCCACUUCUUCGUCUUCCUGUGUGUUUAUAUUACAGUAUCCAAGAGUAGUUGAACGUUGAAUAUUCCCAAUCGAAAGAAUGAAAAGAUUAGUUGGGUUUUGAUUGCAAAACCCUCUAGGUAACCAUUUAGGUUCAAAAUAAAAUACAAAACAUUUGAAAGUCACGCGCAAUCUUCACGAAAACUUCUCGUGGACACAUGACAGGGGGGGUUGAAUAUUUUCACGAAACGUUUGUUCGCCACCAC